UACGAAGGGGGCUAGCGUUGCUCGGAUUGACUGGGCGUAAAGGGCGCGUAGGCGGCUUGUACAGUCAGACGUGAAAUUCCUGGGCUCAACCUGGGGGCUGCGUUUGAUACGUAUGGGCUUGAGUUCGGAAGAGGGUCGUGGAAUUCCCAGUGUAGAGGUGAAAUUCGUAGAUAUUGGGAAGAACACCGGUGGCGAAGGCGGCGACCUGGUCCGAUACUGACGCUGAGGCGCGAAAGCGUGGGGAGAAAACAG
Molecule: ribosomal RNA, 252 nt
Filed under: uncultured bacterium
Lineage: Bacteria
Description: partial 16S ribosomal RNA
Rfam family: Bacterial small subunit ribosomal RNA
Source: RNAcentral